AAGAUAUUAUAACCGAGGGAAUUAACAAAAAUCUAGACAUCGAAAAGCUCUCUUCAACUUCAGUAAAUACUUUUCGUAUUGCAGAUUUCGGCUGCUCUACAGGGCCUAAUACAUUCGUUGCAAUGCAAACAAUAGUUGAAACAGCAUGGAAAAAGUUCAAAACUGAAUUAUCAGAUUCACAAGUACCUGACUUUCAAGUCUUCUUUAAUGAUCGAACCUCCAACGAUUUCAACACUCUUUUUGCUUCGCUUCCACCAGAAAGAAAAUACUACGCGGCUGGAGUACCUGGUUCGUUUCACAAACGCCAGUUCCCGAAGGAUUCACUUCAUUUUGCUCAUUCAUCGUGUACACUCAAUUGGCUUUCUGUGAUGCCUCAAGAGAUACUAGAUAACUCUUCUCCUGCAUGGAAUCAAGGAAAAAUUAUGUAUUCUGGAGAGAAAAAGGAAGUGUUAAAUGCUUAUGCACUCCAGUAUGCUAAGGAUUUGGACUCGUUUUUUAAAGCAAGGGCACAAGAGUUGGUUUGUGGAGGCUUAAUGGCACUUGUUGUUCCAACUGUGCCUAACCCUAAUCAUGAUUUAUCUAGUAUCACUUUCCCUUCAUACGAUCUUCUGGGGACUUGUCUUAUUGAGUUGGCCGAGAGGGUACUAUAAAGAACUGAACUGAGUAUUAUAUAGUAACUUAUUGAAGAAGUCAUUAAUGUUCUUUCUUGUUGCAGGGACGAUUCGAUGCAGCCAAAGUAGACUCGUUCAACUUGCCUGUAUAUUACACAUAUCCAAAUGAAUUGAAGGCCAUAAUUGAGAAAAAUCAAGAUUUUCGUAUUGAGAGAAUAGAGGUACUAAACAUCCCGAGCAAGCAUCACACGAAUCCGGACCCCAAAGCAUAUUCCCUGACCCAAAGAGCUG
Molecule: long non-coding RNA, 902 nt
Filed under: Olea europaea (common olive)
Lineage: Eukaryota; Viridiplantae; Streptophyta; Magnoliopsida; Lamiales; Oleaceae
Description: long non-coding RNA (OEUR_LNC014844)
Source: RNAcentral